Molecule: ribosomal RNA, 446 nt
Filed under: uncultured bacterium
Lineage: Bacteria
Description: partial 16S ribosomal RNA
Rfam family: Bacterial small subunit ribosomal RNA
Source: RNAcentral
CCUACGGGUGGCAGCAGUCGAGAAUCAUUCACAAUGGGGGAAACCCUGAUGGUGCGACGCCGCGUGGGGGAAUGAAGGUCUUCGGAUUGUAAACCCCUGUCAUGUGGGAGCAAAUUAAAAAGAUAGUACCACAAGAGGAAGAGACGGCUAACUCUGUGCCAGCAGCCGCGGUAAUACAGAGGUCUCAAGCGUUGUUCGGAAUCACUGGGCGUAAAGCGUGCGUAGGCUGUUUCGUAAGUCGUGUGUGAAAGGCGCGGGCUCAACCCGCGGACGGCACAUGAUACUGCGAGACUAGAGUAAGGGAGGGGGAACCGGAAGUCUCGGUGGAGCAGUGAAAUGCGUAGAUAUCGAGAGGAACACUCGUGGCGAAGGCGGGUUCCUGGACAUUAACUGACGCUGAGGCACGAAGGCCAGGGGAGCGAAAGGGAUUAGAUACCCCUGUAGUC